CCUACGGGAGGCAGCAGUGGGGAAUAUUGGACAAUGGGGGGAACCCUGAUCCAGCCAUGCCGCGUGUGUGAAGAAGGCCUUAUGGUUGUAAAGCACUUUAAGCGAGGAGGAGGCUACUUUAGUUAAUACCUAGAGAUAGUGGACGUUACUCGCAGAAUAAGCACCGGCUAACUCUGUGCCAGCAGCCGCGGUAAUACAGAGGGUGCGAGCGUUAAUCGGAUUUACUGGGCGUAAAGCGUGCGUAGGCGGCUUAUUAAGUCGGAUGUGAAAUCCCCGAGCUUAACUUGGGAAUUGCAUUCGAUACUGGUGAGCUAGGGUAUGGGAGAGGAUGGUAGAAUUCCAGGUGUAGCGGUGAAAUGCGUAGAGAUCUGGAGGAAUACCGAUGGCGAAGGCAGCCAUCUGGCCUAAUACUGACGCUGAGGUACGAAAGCAUGGGGAGCAAACAGGAUUAGAUACCCUGG
This 461-nucleotide ribosomal RNA is filed under the name uncultured bacterium. Its description in RNAcentral is "bacterial SSU rRNA". It matches the Rfam family "Bacterial small subunit ribosomal RNA", at positions 338 to 790 of the family's 1533-position model. The record is from RNAcentral.